ACUCGAGUGGCGAACGGGUGAGUAACACGUGGGUGAUCUGCCCUGCACUUCGGGAUAAGCUUGGGAAGCUGGGUCUAAUACCGGAUAGGAGCCAUCUUUAGUGUGGUGGUUGGAAAGUUUUUCGGUGUAGGAUGAGCUCGCGGCCUAUCAGCUUGUUGGUGGGGUAAUGGCCUACCAAGGCGGCGACGGGUAGCCGGCCUGAGAGGGUGUACGGCCACAUUGGGACUGAGAUACGGCCCAG
This 241-nucleotide ribosomal RNA is filed under the name uncultured Actinomycetales bacterium. RNAcentral's name for it is "partial 16S ribosomal RNA". It matches the Rfam family "Bacterial small subunit ribosomal RNA", at positions 89 to 334 of the family's 1533-position model. The record is from RNAcentral. Lineage: Bacteria; Bacillati; Actinomycetota; Actinomycetes; Actinomycetales.